Non-coding RNA from Pelobates cultripes (western spadefoot toad), 420 nucleotides. Lineage: Eukaryota; Metazoa; Chordata; Amphibia; Anura; Pelobatidae. The record is from the annotation of a GenBank genome assembly.
GUGGAUUUUGUUCAGGCUUGUCAGGUCUGCACGCAAUGUAAGUCCCCUAAUAUGAGAUCCCAGGGUUUUCUGAUGCCUCUAUCUAUACCCAAGAAACCAUGGACCCACUUAUCCAUGGAUUUCAUUGUAGACCUGCCUCUUUCUGAUGGUCAGACGGUGAUACUGACUGUGACGGAUAGGUUCUCUAAAAUGGCGCACUUCAUUCGGCUUAAGAAACUGCCUUCUGCAGUUCAGUUAGCUCAGGUAUUUGCCAAAGAAGUGUUCCGAUUGCAUGGGGUACCCCAGGAUAUCGUAUCUGACAGGGGUCCUCAAUUUGUCUCUCGGUUCUGGAGGGGCUUUUGUGCUGAGAUGGGGGUAUCCUUGUCGUUUUCUUCCUCCUAUCACCCGCAAUCUAAUGGUGCGGCCGAACGUGCUAAUCAG